AUUGUACUUCAUCAGGUGCUCUGGUACAGCUUCACCCGGCACCUGUUGGAGUGCAAUUU
Molecule: microRNA precursor, 59 nt
Filed under: Triops cancriformis
Lineage: Eukaryota; Metazoa; Arthropoda; Branchiopoda; Notostraca; Triopsidae
Description: microRNA tcf-mir-305 precursor
Gene: tcf-mir-305
Source: miRBase by way of RNAcentral